AGUGAACGCUGGCGGUAGGCCUAACACAUGCAAGUCGAACGGCAGCACAGUAAGAGCUCGCUCUCACGGGUGGCGAGUGGCGGACGGGCGAGGAAUACCUCGGAAUCUACUUUUUCGUGGGGGAUAACGUAGGGAAACUUACGCUAAUACCGCAUACGACCUACGGGUGAAAGCAGGGGAUCUUCGGACCUUGCGCGAUUGAAUGAGCCGAUGACGGUUUUGCUAGUUGGCGGGGUAACGGCCGACCAAGGCGACUACCCGUAGCUGGUGUGAGAGGAGGAUCGCCCGCACGAGAACGGAGACACGGACCAGGGGCCUGCGGGAGGCAGCAGUGUGGAAUAGGGGGCAACAGGCGGAAGUCUGAUCCAGCGAUACCGAGUGGGUGAAAAAGACCUUCCGGUUGUAAAGCCGGUUUGUGGGUAAAGAAAAGCAGCAGGUUAAUACCCCGCUGUUGUGACGGUACCCAAAAAAUAAGCACCGGCUAACUUCGUG
This 492-nucleotide ribosomal RNA is filed under the name uncultured bacterium. RNAcentral's name for it is "partial 16S ribosomal RNA". It matches the Rfam family "Bacterial small subunit ribosomal RNA", at positions 29 to 507 of the family's 1533-position model. The record is from RNAcentral.